CCUACGGGCGGCAGCAGUGAGGAAUAUUGGUCAAUGGCCGCAAGCCUGAACCAGCCAAGUCGCGUGAAGGAUGACUGCCCUACGGGUUGUAAACUUCUUUUAUAAAGGAAUAAAGUUAUGCACGUGUGCCUUUUUGUAUGUACUUUAUGAAUAAGCAUCGGCUAACUCCGUGCCAGCAGCCGCGGUAAUACGGAGGAUGCGAGCGUUAUCCGGAUUUAUUGGGUUUAAAGGGAGCGUAGAUGGGUUGUUAAGUCAGCUGUGAAAGUUUGUGGCUCAACCGUAAAAUUGCAGUUGAUACUGGCAGCCUUGAGUACAGUUGAGGUAGGCGGAAUUCGUGGUGUAGCGGUGAAAUGCUUAGAUAUCACGAAGAACUCCGAUUGCGAAGGCAGCCUACUAAAC
This 399-nucleotide ribosomal RNA is filed under the name uncultured bacterium. RNAcentral describes it as "partial 16S ribosomal RNA". It matches the Rfam family "Bacterial small subunit ribosomal RNA", at positions 338 to 734 of the family's 1533-position model. The record is from RNAcentral.